CGCGUAGGCGGGCUGUUAAGUUGGGUGUGAAAUGUCGGGGCUCAACCCUGAGAGUGCAUCUGAAACUGGCAGUCUUGAGCAGUGGAGAGGGAAGUGGAAUUCCUGGUGUAGCGGUGAAAUGCGUAGAUAUCAGGAGGAACACCCGUGGCGAAGGCGGCUUCCUGGCCACUAGCUGACGCUGAGGUGCGAAAGCCAGGGGAGCGAACGGGAUUAGAUACCCCGGUAGUCCUGGCCGUAAACGAUGGAUACUAGGUGUUAGAGGUAUCGACCCCUCUAGUGCCGCAGCUAACGCAAUAAGUAUCCCGCCUGGGGAGUACGGCCGCAAGGUUGAA
Molecule: ribosomal RNA, 332 nt
Filed under: uncultured bacterium
Lineage: Bacteria
Description: bacterial SSU rRNA
Rfam family: Bacterial small subunit ribosomal RNA
Source: RNAcentral